GGCUACGUAGCUCAGCUGGUUAGAGCACAGCACUCAUAAUGCUGGGGUCACAGGUUCGAUUCCCGUCGUA
This 70-nucleotide transfer RNA is filed under the name bacteria symbiont BFo2 of Frankliniella occidentalis. RNAcentral describes it as "tRNA-Met". It matches the Rfam family "tRNA". Rfam says of the family: Transfer RNA (tRNA) molecules are approximately 80 nucleotides in length. Their secondary structure includes four short double-helical elements and three loops (D, anti-codon, and T loops). Further hydrogen bonds mediate the characteristic L-shaped molecular structure. tRNAs have two regions of fundamental functional importance: the anti-codon, which is responsible for specific mRNA codon recognition, and the 3' end, to which the tRNAs corresponding amino acid is attached (by aminoacyl-tRNA synthetases). tRNAs cope with the degeneracy of the genetic code in two manners: having more than one tRNA (with a specific anti-codon) for a particular amino acid; and 'wobble' base-pairing, i.e. permitting non-standard base-pairing at the 3rd anti-codon position. The record is from RNAcentral. Lineage: Bacteria; Pseudomonadati; Pseudomonadota; Gammaproteobacteria; Enterobacterales.